RNAcentral lists this ribosomal RNA (520 nucleotides) under uncultured Glomus. RNAcentral describes it as "SSU rRNA". It matches the Rfam family "Eukaryotic small subunit ribosomal RNA", at positions 569 to 1091 of the family's 1831-position model. The record is from RNAcentral. Lineage: Eukaryota; Fungi; Glomeromycota; Glomeromycetes; Glomerales; Glomeraceae.
AGCAGCCGCGGUAAUUCCAGCUCCAAUAGCGUAUAUUAAAGUUGUUGCAGUUAAAAAGCUCGUAGUUGAAUUUCGGGGUUAGUAGAUUGGUCAUGCCUCUGGUAUGCACUGGUCUUACUGAUUCCUCCUUCCUGAUGAACCGUAAUGCCAUUAAUUUGGUGUUGCGGGGAAACUGGACUGUUACUUUGAAAAAAUUGAGUGUUUAAAGCAGGCUAACGCUUGAAUACAUUAGCAUGGAAUAAUGAAAUAGGACGUUCGAUCUUAUUUUGUUGGUUUCUAGGAUUGACGUAAUGAUUAAUAGGGAUAGUUGGGGGCAUUAGUAUUCAAUUGUCAGAGGUGAAAAUUCUUGGAUUUAUUGAAGACUAACUACUGCGAAAGCAUUUGCCAAGGAUGUUUUCAUUAAUCAAGAACGAAGUUAGGGAUCGAAGACGAUCAGAUACCGUCGUAGUCUUAACCAUAAACUAUGACCGACUAGGGAUCGGAUGAUGUAAUUUUUUAAUGUACUCAUUCGGCGCCUUAC